This 3071-nucleotide long non-coding RNA is filed under the name Mus musculus (house mouse). RNAcentral's name for it is "SOX2 overlapping transcript". The stretch from base 473 to 744 matches the Rfam family "SOX2 overlapping transcript exon 3". Lineage: Eukaryota; Metazoa; Chordata; Mammalia; Rodentia; Muridae. The record is from RNAcentral.
CUGUUCCGCUAUGUGAAAAAUGUUGAAUAUCAACAAUGGGUUUCAGUGCUGCAUUGUUGAGUUUUGUAUGAACUAAUCUAGCUUCACUAAAAAAAAAAAUAAAGAAGAAGAAAAAAAAGAAAAAGAAGGAAAGAAAGAAGAAAUAAAGGGAAAGAAAAAAAAACGACAGCUUUGAACAAAAGUCCACAGCCAGUGUGUUCCAAGUCCCUGCUCAGGGCUGACUGUGGCAGGGGACACUCUCCUGCUGGCUCUCUCUGUCCACACUUAGCUGGCUCCUGUCCUCAGGUGCACGGCCACACCCUCGCACCCAACCUUGAUCCUCUGAUGGGGAAGGUCCCAGGACUUGUCUGCUGGGACAGGCCUCACCCCCAAGAGCUCUGGGCAGUACCGAGAAGCAAACCUGACAGAUUUCUCCAGAACAGUGGCCAUCCAUGGGAUGAGUGAAAGCCUCUUUCUAUUCCAGGGAUUGCAGAGGCAAAGCUAGACUAGGUCUUGGAGGCUGGUGUAAGGUGGUGCGCGGAAGGCAGGACGCUGAUGGGAGAGACUGGUCGAAGAAAAGCCUAAAUGGAUUCUCCGUGCUUUGGAUGGAGAAAGAGGGGGGAAGUGCGAGCUCCUUCAACUCGUUCUGUCCGGUGAGGAGUGAUCCAGCUUGGGCUGACGAGAGGCUCCGGAGCCUUCACGUUCAGUGCUUUUUACCUGCCAAUCAAACUGCUACAAGACAACACCCUGAUCUGGCAUGGUCGCAUCGAACCUAGAAAUUGUACUUUCCUCAAGAUCCGCUUAAGAGAAUCUGGUUGAUGGCUUUGGUCUGAGAGUUCAGACAUCUCUUGUGCAACUAAGAAAGACCUCAUUUUCCAUUUGCUGGAUCCUCCUGGUUUGUCAUCCCUGAGUCCUGUAAGAAGCUCAUCAGGAGGUCCCCUGCGCCGGAAGGACCAUGUGAGCUCAUCCCAGAUGAUGGGUGGCACCAUGGUUUUAGCAGCUCACACAGUGGAGAACCACAUUUGCUCUGGAAGAGCUUAGCAACAUGUAUUUGAUAACACAACAAGGUCAGCUUGAGCUCUAUCCUUCUGUGGCCAUACUGAACAAAAGGAGAGACAGACAGACAGACAGACAGACAGACAGGCAGGCAGGCAGGCAAGCAGACAGAGGCAGAGACAGGCAGACAGAGACAGAGAAACAGAGAAAUGAUUCCUGAAUUAUUUUUAAAAAUUAAUUUUAAAAUUCAGAUCAAUUAAUCAGUAAUACAUGCCUGUAGUCUCAGCCCUAGAACAGAUCAAACAGGAGAGUCUCAAGACUAAGGUCAGCCUGGACCACUGGUGACUGUUUCAAAGAAAACAAAUUACCAUUUGGGCAUAAUGGCACACGCCUUUUAAUUCCAGUCCUUGGGAGGCAGAGGCAAGUGGGUCUCUGAGUUCGGGACCAGCCUAGUCUACAGAGUGAGUUCCAGGUCAGCCAGGGCUAUACAGAGAAACCUUAUCUCAAACCAGCCAACAAAACCCACAGCAAACCGAAAACAGGUUAUCCUUUAAAAAGACGAUUUAGCUGGGCAGUGGUGGCACAUGCCUUUAAUCCCAGCACUUGGGAGGCAGAGGGAGGUGGGUUUCUGAGUUCGAGGCCAGCCUGGUCUACAAGGUGAGUGCCAGGACAGCCGGGACUAUACAGAGAAACCCUGUCUCAAAAAAAAAACAACAACAACAACAACAACAAAAAAGACAAUUUAGCCAGAUAUGAUGGCUCAUGCCUUUAAUCCCAGCACUUGCAAGGUAGACACAGGCAGCGAGUUCAAAUCUAUCCAGGUCUAUAUAUUGAAUUCCAGGACACCCAGGGGUACAGAUUAGAGAGACUUCAUGUUUAACAACACACACACACACACACACACACACACACACACACACCCCACUAUGUGAAUACACAGGUUUAUGUGCAUCCUAUCCCAGAGAGCCUGUGGUGAUUAUAAAACAGUAAAAAUAGGGCACAGUAGACAGCACCUUCGAGAUCAGCUUAGAACACUUACCUGUCACUUCUGUGUCACUUUUGGUGUGGCAGUUAUUAUAUUUCUAUAAUUCAUCUUUUGAGGGAGGCUCAGAAUCGGUAUGAAAUGAUAUAUGUUUACCUCUUUACUCUGUGAAUCAGGCUCUCAUAUAGUCUAAGCUGGCCUUGAACUCCUGGUAUAGCAGAGGGUGGCCUUGAUCUGGGAGCAAAGGUGCUGUCAUUUCCAGCAGAGAAAUGAUAUCUAGACCAAAGACACAGUUUUUAUUAUAUAGCCAAUGCUUCUUUAAAUGCCUGGCAACCCUCCCUUCUGCAGUGCUUGAUGGUGUGUUACUGAAGGAGUUUUCCUAAACACCAGCACAAAUGAACGGGCACACAUCAAGCAUACAAGACCUGGAGGAGGGAGGGGGCCCUGCCGAUUCCUCAGAUGCAGUGAUGGAUGAGAAAAGUAAGGGUGGACCAGAGCAGCCACAGCAUUGAAAGUCUGUGGUUUCAUUUCACAGAAGUAGUUGUUCAGCUCUGUACUUGGUUUGCCAUUGGCAGUGUUGUAUAGGGGGCUGAGGCUCAAACCCAGGCCCUUACCACUAGGGACUGUCAUUCUUAGCCUUCCAACCUUAAAAACAAACAAAACAACAACAACAAAAACUUAUUUUGAUUUUCAUUUAAUUUCAUAUUGCACCCAGGAACUAUUUUAAGAAAUCUUGUGUCAUAACCUGUGACCAAAAGUUAAGUAGCAGUUUUCCUAAUGUGUCUGCGUUUGCUAUAAAGAAUUGAAACUGAGCCAGGCAGUGUUGGUGCAUGCCUUUAGUCUCAGCACUUGGGAGGCAGUAGCAGAUGGAUUUCUGAGUUCGAGGCCAGCCUGGUCUACAGAGUGAGGACAGGACAGCCAGGGCUAUACAGAGAAACCCUAUCUCCAAAGCCGGAACAAAAAAAGGUUUGAAACUGUGUGAGUAUUUUCAUUGUCUGGCACUUUAUAACAGGUCUUAUUUGGUAUUGACAUUGGUAUUUGGAAUGAGCAUUUGAAGGUUUUAAAAGCUUCAGUAUUUAUUUUGUUCUAAAAUAAAGUACCUUUUCCCUCUGUG